AAUAACCAAAUAUAGCGCUUGGGUUAAGAGUCGUGUUCGUAAUUUUUCUUACAUCUCCACUGUCGGGAGCCCAAAUAUCAUAUACACCUAAAAAAUACAAAGCCUUGAGUACUGGAAGAAAAGCACCAACACCUAGCAAGAUUAGGUGAAUACCCAAAAUUGUGGUCAUUUUGUUUCUAUAUUUCCA
Picea glauca (white spruce) is the source of this 187-nucleotide non-coding RNA. The record is from Rfam. Lineage: Eukaryota; Viridiplantae; Streptophyta; Pinopsida; Pinales; Pinaceae.